UCUGGCCAAGUGCAUAAAGUUUCCUCAACGCUCACAACAAGCAACCUCUGACAAAAGUCCCUCUACUUCUAUUCGAGUCUCUCAGCCAACAGCCUGAAGCCCAUGGUGCUUUUCCAGGACCACAAGGUUCCAGGAUAUGCCAAAGAUCUGAUCAAGUUCCUCAAUGGAUACUCCUCCUCCUCUACUCUUUUACUGGAUGCUCAGUCUAUCCUAGAGUCAGGUCUGAGUAGAGAAUUACUCUAAACGGUUCCAGCUGCUGCUGUAUCUAGAGGAGCUACAGAUGGAGGUGGACAUUAAAAUAUACAACAAGCCCAACACUCCCAUGGUCAGAGACAAGACACUACUGGUGCUAGAGGCACACACAAACACAGAUGUACUCACACAUGGUCAGAGACAAGACCAACAAGACACUACUGGUGCUGCAGGACACACACAAACAAACAAACACUAGGAACGUAUCUCCUCCUCUACUAGAUGGCCCAGGGUUUAUCUCCAGCCCAGUAUGUUGUGUGCUCAUGCAGGUACCAGGUGAGUCAGAGAACCGUCCGUCUGUUCUGCAGGGCAACUCCAUCCUGGUGACGAGGUCAGGUGACGCUAAUAAGGGGGGCGUGGUCAAAUACCGUGGUUACGUCCACCGUGUGGAGCUGGACUCCGUCAAACUGGGAUUUGACAGGAAGUAAGGACAUGAUUGGAGGAGGCUUCUUCCCGAAGGGAUCUUAUAAAUCAAAGCUCUCUCUCUUCAUGGUUGUCUGGUUACAUUCCGAUUCUCUACUCUUUCUUCUAAAGUGCGCACUCGUUCACUCCCCCUCAUGCAUUUAAAAGCACUGGAUUAGGGAAAGCAUGGCUGGGGGGAGUUUCCACCAUAUUCCUUAUACUAGUUAAUUUCUUUUAAAUCCGUGAGGUGGCGUGUACGAGUGUACACUGCCACUCUGAACUCUCACACUAAAUUCUUACGCUGCUCUAUCAUUUGUUAGACUUUAGUCUGAAUCUUCCAUCAUUGAAAGUUGUUUUUUGGCAUUGUUUGUGGUGAAAACCAAUCCCAGUAUCAAAGCCAAUUACGUACCACAAAAACGCAGCUUCACCCAUGUGUGUUCUGGCCCAACACAUUGGUUUCUGGAACCAAUCAGACAGCCCCAAAGGGUCUAAAACAAACGUCCGUGGGUGUGGCAUUGUGUUUGAACAGAUUAAGGAGUCAGAGUAGCAGUGUUGUAAAGCACUUAAGUAAAAAUACUUGAAAGUACUACUUAAGUUGUUUUUUGGGGUAUCUGUACUUUACCAUUUAUAUUUUGGUCAACUUUUACUUUGCUGCAUUCCUAAAGAAAAUAAUGUACUUUUUACUCCUUACAUUUUCCCUGACACCCAAAAGUACUCAUUACAUUUUGAAUGGUUAGCAGGACAGAAUAUUGUACAAUUCACACACUAAUAAACAGAACCUCCCUGGUCA
Long non-coding RNA from Salmo salar (Atlantic salmon), 1444 nucleotides. RefSeq lists it as uncharacterized. The record is from RefSeq and is a predicted model, not a curated record. Lineage: Eukaryota; Metazoa; Chordata; Actinopteri; Salmoniformes; Salmonidae.